RNAcentral lists this ribosomal RNA (609 nucleotides) under uncultured beta proteobacterium. RNAcentral describes it as "bacterial SSU rRNA". It matches the Rfam family "Bacterial small subunit ribosomal RNA", at positions 192 to 783 of the family's 1533-position model. The record is from RNAcentral. Lineage: Bacteria; Pseudomonadati; Pseudomonadota; Betaproteobacteria.
CCCUGAGGGGGAAAGCGGGGGACCGUAAGGCCUCGCGCGAUUAGAGCGGCCGAUGUCUGAUUAGCUUGUUGGUGAGGUAAAAGCUCACCAAGGCGAUGAUCAGUAGCUGGUCUGAGAGGACGAUCAGCCACACUGGGACUGAGACACGGCCCAGACUCCUACGGGAGGCAGCAGUGGGGAAUUUUGGACAAUGGGGGCAACCCUGAUCCAGCAAUGCCGCGUGAGUGAAGAAGGCCUUCGGGUUGUAAAGCUCUUUUGUCAGGGAAGAAACAGCAGCUCUAACACAGACUGCGAAUGACGGUACCUGAAGAAUAAGCACCGGCUAACUACGUGCCAGCAGCCGCGGUAAUACGUAGGGUGCGAGCGUUAAUCGGAAUUACUGGGCGUAAAGCGUGCGCAGGCGGUUAUACAAGACAGGCGUGAAAUCCCCGGGCUUAACCUGGGAAUGGCGUCUGUGACUGUAUAGCUAGAGUGUGUCAGAGGGGGGUGGAAUUCCACGUGUAGCAGUGAAAUGCGUAAAUAUGUGGAGGAACACCAAUGGCGAAGGCAGCCCCCUGGGAUAACACUGACGCUCAUGCACGAAAGCGUGGGGAGCAAACAGGAUUAGAU